Molecule: ribosomal RNA, 490 nt
Filed under: uncultured bacterium
Lineage: Bacteria
Description: partial 16S ribosomal RNA
Rfam family: Bacterial small subunit ribosomal RNA
Source: RNAcentral
AUUGAACGCUGGCGGCAGGCCUAACACAUGCAAGUCGAACGGUAACAGGAAACAGCUUGCUGUUUCGCUGACGAGUGGCGGACGGGUGAGUAAUGUCUGGGAAACUGCCUGAUGGAGGGGGAUAACUACUGGAAACGGUAGCUAAUACCGCAUAACGUCGCAAGACCAAAGAGGGGGACCCUCGGGCCUCUUGCCAUCGGAUGUGCCCAGAUGGGAUUAGCUUGUUGGUGGGGUAACGGCUCACCAAGGCGACGAUCCCUAGCUGGUCUGAGAGGAUGACCAGCCACACUGGAACUGAGACACGGUCCAGACUCCUUCGGGAGGCAGCAGUGGGGAAUAUUGCACAAUGGGCGCAAGCCUGAUGCAGCCAUGCCGCGUGUAUGAAGAAGGCCUUCGGGUUGUAAAGUACUUUCAGCGGGGAGGAAGGGAGUAAAGUUAAUACCUUUGCUCAUUGACGUUACCCGCAGAAGAAGCGCCGGCUAACUCCGUG